AAUAAUGUUUGCAGAUGUUCGCAGCUAGCUGCAAACCUCCUGCAAACAUUGCAGCUUUUUGCUGCAAGCUUGCAGAAACAAAUAUGUUUGCAGUAAGAUUGCAGGAAAAACUAGAAUAUAAGGGAUGUUCGCAGCUAGAUUGCAGGAAUCUUUGACAAUUUUAUAUGUUUGCAAGAGCAUUGCAAGAAACUACAUAAAACGACUGAGCAUGCCUAUUGGUAACUUCCUGGAAGAUAAAGAUUUGAAAUUUGAAAAUGUUGGUGAUGUUUGUGUCAUGAUAUAUAUUAGUGUUCAGGGAGGCAUUAUAGUUUGGCAAUUAACAGAUAAGUUUUUAGAGACAUUAUUUGUAAGUACAUAUUCAUCGUACAAUGUUAAUUUAACUUAUGAAAUUCAUUCCUUCCACAGAUAUCUGCAUGAGGUUUAAAAUAUAUUUUCAAAUAUGUAACCAUGCAAUAUACA
RNAcentral lists this long non-coding RNA (459 nucleotides) under Mytilus galloprovincialis (Mediterranean mussel). The record is from RNAcentral. Lineage: Eukaryota; Metazoa; Mollusca; Bivalvia; Mytilida; Mytilidae.